This 484-nucleotide ribosomal RNA is filed under the name uncultured bacterium. RNAcentral's name for it is "partial 16S ribosomal RNA". It matches the Rfam family "Bacterial small subunit ribosomal RNA", at positions 28 to 507 of the family's 1533-position model. The record is from RNAcentral.
AUUGAACGCUGGCGGCAUGCUUUACACAUGCAAGUCGAACGGCAGCGCGGGCUUCGGCCUGGCGGCGAGUGGCGAACGGGUGAGUAAUGCAUCGGAACGUGCCCAGUAGUGGGGGAUAGCCCGGCGAAAGCCGGAUUAAUACCGCAUACGACCUGAGGGUGAAAGCGGGGGACCGAAAGGCCUCGCGCUAUUGGAGCGGCCGAUGUCGGAUUAGCUAGUUGGUGGGGUAAAGGGUUACCAAGGCGACGAUCCGUAGCUGGUCUGAGAGGACGACCAGCCACACUGGGACUGAGACACGGCCCAGACUCCUACGGGAGGCCGCAGUGGGGAAUUUUGGACAAUGGGGGCAACCCUGAUCCAGCCAUGCCGCGUGCGGGAAGAAGGCCUUCGGGUUGUAAACCGCUUUUGUUCGGGAAGAAAUCCUCUGGGCUAAUACCCCGGGGGGAUGACGGUACCGGAAGAAUAAGCACCGGCUAACUACGUG